CAGAAAGUAGUUUAAUUUAAUCUAGAAUACUAGCUUUGGGAGCUAGCGGCGGGGGUUAAAUUCCCCUCUCUCUGA
This 75-nucleotide transfer RNA is filed under the name Johnius trewavasae. RNAcentral describes it as "tRNA-Pro". It matches the Rfam family "tRNA". Rfam says of the family: Transfer RNA (tRNA) molecules are approximately 80 nucleotides in length. Their secondary structure includes four short double-helical elements and three loops (D, anti-codon, and T loops). The record is from RNAcentral. Lineage: Eukaryota; Metazoa; Chordata; Actinopteri; Sciaenidae.